Molecule: ribosomal RNA, 1340 nt
Filed under: uncultured bacterium
Lineage: Bacteria
Description: bacterial SSU rRNA
Rfam family: Bacterial small subunit ribosomal RNA
Source: RNAcentral
GACGAACGCUGGCGGCGUGCUUAACACAUGCAAGUCGAACGGUAAGGCCCUUCGGGGUACACGAGUGGCGAACGGGUGAGUAACACGUGGGUGAUCUGCCCUGCACUUUGGGAUAAGCCUGGGAAACUGGGUCUAAUACCGAAUACACCCUGCUGGUCGCAUGGCCUGGUGGGGGAAAGCUUUUGCGGUGUGGGAUGGGCCCGCGGCCUAUCAGCUUGUUGGUGGGGUGAUGGCCUACCAAGGCGACGACGGGUAGCCGGCCUGAGAGGGUGACCGGCCACACUGGGACUGAGAUACGGCCCAGACUCCUACGGGAGGCAGCAGUGGGGAAUAUUGCACAAUGGGCGCAAGCCUGAUGCAGCGACGCCGCGUGAGGGAUGACGGCCUUCGGGUUGUAAACCUCUUUCAAUAGGGACGAAGCGCAAGUGACGGUACCUAUAGAAGAAGGACCGGCCAACUACGUGCCAGCAGCCGCGGUAAUACGUAGGGUCCGAGCGUUGUCCGGAAUUACUGGGCGUAAAGAGCUCGUAGGUGGUUUGUCGCGUUGUUCGUGAAAACCCACAGCUUAACUGUGGGCGUGCGGGCGAUACGGGCAGACUUGAGUACUGCAGGGGAGACUGGAAUUCCUGGUGUAGCGGUGGAAUGCGCAGAUAUCAGGAGGAACACCGGUGGCGAAGGCGGGUCUCUGGGCAGUAACUGACGCUGAGGAGCGAAAGCGUGGGGAGCGAACAGGAUUAGAUACCCUGGUAGUCCACGCCGUAAACGGUGGGUACUAGGUGUGGGUUUCCUUCCUUGGGAUCCGUGCCGUAGCUAACGCAUUAAGUACCCCGCCUGGGGAGUACGGCCGCAAGGCUAAAACUCAAAGGAAUUGACGGGGGCCCGCACAAGCGGCGGAGCAUGUGGAUUAAUUCGAUGCAACGCGAAGAACCUUACCUGGGUUUGACAUGCACAGGACGCCGGCAGAGAUGUCGGUUCCCUUGUGGCCUGUGUGCAGGUGGUGCAUGGCUGUCGUCAGCUCGUGUCGUGAGAUGUUGGGUUAAGUCCCGCAACGAGCGCAACCCUUGUCUCAUGUUGCCAGCACGUUAUGGUGGGGACUCGUGAGAGACUGCCGGGGUCAACUCGGAGGAAGGUGGGGAUGACGUCAAGUCAUCAUGCCCCUUAUGUCCAGGGCUUCACACAUGCUACAAUGGCCGGUACAAAGGGCUGCGAUGCCGUGAGGUGGAGCGAAUCCUUUCAAAGCCGGUCUCAGUUCGGAUCGGGGUCUGCAACUCGACCCCGUGAAGUCGGAGUCGCUAGUAAUCGCAGAUCAGCAACGCUGCGGUGAAUACGUUCCCAGGCCU